RNAcentral lists this transfer RNA (82 nucleotides) under Trichoderma reesei QM6a. RNAcentral's name for it is "tRNA-Leu (CAA) (tRNA-Leu-CAA-1-1, tRNA-Leu-CAA-1-2)". It matches the Rfam family "tRNA". Rfam says of the family: Transfer RNA (tRNA) molecules are approximately 80 nucleotides in length. Their secondary structure includes four short double-helical elements and three loops (D, anti-codon, and T loops). Further hydrogen bonds mediate the characteristic L-shaped molecular structure. tRNAs have two regions of fundamental functional importance: the anti-codon, which is responsible for specific mRNA codon recognition, and the 3' end, to which the tRNAs corresponding amino acid is attached (by aminoacyl-tRNA synthetases). tRNAs cope with the degeneracy of the genetic code in two manners: having more than one tRNA (with a specific anti-codon) for a particular amino acid; and 'wobble' base-pairing, i.e. permitting non-standard base-pairing at the 3rd anti-codon position. Lineage: Eukaryota; Fungi; Ascomycota; Sordariomycetes; Hypocreales; Hypocreaceae. RNAcentral also lists the same sequence under 2 other names. The record is from RNAcentral.
GGCGGGUUGGUGGAGUGGUCUAACACGUGCGACUCAAGUUCGCAUCUCGCAAGAGGCGUGGGUUCGAAUCCCACACCCGUCA